GAGCUUGCUCCAUGAUUCAGCGGCGGACGGGUGAGUAAUGCCUAGGAAUCUGCCUGGUAGUGGGGGACAACGUUUCGAAAGGAACGCUAAUACCGCAUACGUCCUACGGGAGAAAGUGGGGGAUCUUCGGACCUCACGCUAUCAGAUGAGCCUAGGUCGGAUUAGCUAGUUGGUGAGGUAAAGGCUCACCAAGGCGACGAUCCGUAACUGGUCUGAGAGGAUGAUCAGUCACACUGGAACUGAGACACGGUCCAGACUCCUACGGGAGGCAGCAGUGGGGAAUAUUGGACAAUGGGCGAAAGCCUGAUCCAGCCAUGCCGCGUGUGUGAAGAAGGUCUUCGGAUUGUAAAGCACUUUAAGUUGGGAGGAAGGGCAGUAAGUUAAUACCUUGCUGUUUUGACGUUACCUUCAGAAUAAGCACCGGCUAACUUCGUGCCAGCAGCCGCGGUAAUACGAACGGCGCAAGCGUUAAUCGGAAUUACUGGGCGUAAAGCGCGCUUAGGUGGUUCGUUAAAUUGGAUGUGAAAGCCCCGGGGCUCAGCCUGGGGAACUGCAUCCAAAACUGGGGGAGAUAGAGUAUGGGCAGAGAGUGGGGGGAUUU
Molecule: ribosomal RNA, 601 nt
Filed under: Actinomycetes bacterium
Lineage: Bacteria; Bacillati; Actinomycetota; Actinomycetes
Description: bacterial SSU rRNA
Rfam family: Bacterial small subunit ribosomal RNA
Source: RNAcentral